GAUGAACGCUGGCGGCGUGCCUAAUACAUGCAAGUCGAGCGAACAGACGAGGAGCUUGCUCCUCUGACGUUAGCGGCGGACGGGUGAGUAACACGUGGAUAACCUACCUAUAAGACUGGGAUAACUUCGGGAAACCGGAGCUAAUACCGGAUAAUAUAUUGAACCGCAUGGUUCAAUAGUGAAAGACGGUUUUGCUGUCACUUAUAGAUGGAUCCGCGCCGCAUUAGCUAGUUGGUAAGGUAACGGCUUACCAAGGCAACGAUGCGUAGCCGACCUGAGAGACUGGUCGGCCACACUGGAACUGAGACACGGUCCAGACUCCUACGGGAGGCAGCAGUAGGGAAUCUUCCGCAAUGGGCGAAAGCUUGACGGAGCAACGCCGCGUGAGUGAUGAAGGUCUUCGGAUCGUAAAACUCUGUUAUUAGGGAAGAACAAAUGUGUAAGUAACUAUGCACGUCUUGACGGUACCUAAUCAGAAAGCCACGGCUAACUACGUG
RNAcentral lists this ribosomal RNA (497 nucleotides) under uncultured bacterium. RNAcentral's name for it is "partial 16S ribosomal RNA". It matches the Rfam family "Bacterial small subunit ribosomal RNA", at positions 28 to 507 of the family's 1533-position model. The record is from RNAcentral.